Molecule: ribosomal RNA, 497 nt
Filed under: uncultured bacterium
Lineage: Bacteria
Description: partial 16S ribosomal RNA
Rfam family: Bacterial small subunit ribosomal RNA
Source: RNAcentral
GAUGAACGCUGGCGGCGUGCCUAAUACAUGCAAGUCGAGCGAACAGAUGAGGAGCUUGCUCCUCUGACGUUAGCGGCGGACGGGUGAGUAACACGUGGAUAACCUACCUAUAAGACUGGGAUAACUUCGGGAAACCGGAGCUAAUACCGGAUAAUAUAUUGAACCGCAUGGUUCAAUAGUGAAAGACGGUUUUGCUGUCACUUAUAGAUGGAUCCGCGCCGCAUUAGCUAGUUGGUAAGGUAACGGCUUACCAAGGCAACGAUGCGUAGCCGACCUGAGAGGGUGAUCGGCCACACUGGAACUGAGACACGGUCCAGACUCCUACGGGAGGCAGCAGUAGGGAAUCUUCCGCAAUGGGCGAAAGCCUGACGGAGCAACGCCGCGUGAUUGAUGAAGGUCUUCGGAUCGUAAAACUCUGUUAUUAGGGAAGAACAAAUGUGUAAGUAACUAUGCACGUCUUGACGGUACCUAGUCAGAAAGCCACGGCUAACUACGUG